AUUGAACGCUGGCGGCAUGCCUUACACAUGCAAGUCGAACGGUAACAGGUCUUCGGAUGCUGACGAGUGGCGAACGGGUGAGUAAUACAUCGGAACGUGCCUAGUAGUGGGGGAUAACUACUCGAAAGAGUGGCUAAUACCGCAUGAGAUCUACGGAUGAAAGCAGGGGAUCGAAAGACCUUGUGCUACUAGAGCGGCCGAUGGCAGAUUAGGUAGUUGGUGGGGUAAAUGCUUACCGAGCCGACGAUCUGUAGCUGGUCUGAGAGGACGAUCAGCCACACUGGGACUGAGACACGGCCCAGACUCCUACGGGAGGCAGCAGUGUGGAAUUUUGGACAAUGGGCGCAAGCCUGAUCCAGCAAUGCCGCGUGCAGGAUGAAGGCCUUCGGGUUGUAAACUGCUUUUGUACGGAACGAAAAGCCCCGGGUUAAUACCCUGGGGUCAUGACGGUACCGUAAGAAUAAGCACCGGCUAACUACGUGCCAGCCGCCGCCGUAA
This 498-nucleotide ribosomal RNA is filed under the name uncultured bacterium. RNAcentral's name for it is "partial 16S ribosomal RNA". It matches the Rfam family "Bacterial small subunit ribosomal RNA", at positions 30 to 523 of the family's 1533-position model. The record is from RNAcentral.